GAUGAACGCUGGCGGCGUGCCUAAUACAUGCAAGUCGAGCGAACAGACGAGGAGCUUGCUCCUCUGACGUUAGCGGCGGACGGGUGAGUAACACGUGGAUAACCUACCUAUAAGACUGGGAUAACUUCGGGAAGCCGGAGCUAAUACCGGAUAAUAUAUUGAACCGCAUGGUUCAAUAGUGAAAGACGGUUUUGCUGUCACUUAUAGAUGGAUCCGCGCCGCAUUAGCUAGUUGGUAAGGUAACGGCUUACCAAGGCAACGAUGCGUAGCCGACUUGAGAGGGUGAUCGGCCACACUGGAACUGAGACACGGUCCAGACUCCUACGGGAGGCAGCAGUAGGGAAUCUUCCGCAAAGGGCGAAAGCCUGACGGAGCAACGCCGCGUGAGUGAUGAAGGUCUUCGGAUCGUAAAACUCUGUUAUUAGGGAAGAACAAAUGUGUAAGUAACUAUGCACGUCUUGACGGUACCUAAUCAGAAAGCCACGGCUAACUACGUG
This 497-nucleotide ribosomal RNA is filed under the name uncultured bacterium. RNAcentral's name for it is "partial 16S ribosomal RNA". It matches the Rfam family "Bacterial small subunit ribosomal RNA", at positions 28 to 507 of the family's 1533-position model. The record is from RNAcentral.